This is a non-coding RNA of 356 nucleotides. It matches the Rfam family "Alphaproteobacteria transfer-messenger RNA". From Rfam's summary of the family: Bacterial tmRNA, also known as 10Sa RNA or SsrA, is named for its dual tRNA and mRNA-like properties. Its role is to liberate the mRNA from a stalled ribosome. The record is from Rfam.
CCCCUUUUCACCGCCGAUCCCCGCGCCUAUAUUCGUCAUGUCCUUUCGGGGACUAUGGACAUAAACGCGCCUGUAAUAAGCGGAUCGGACCCGGGGGCGGUACCCGGCGGCUCCACCACACAUCCCUCGUUGGGGGCAGAUGGGGCCGAAACAGGAUCGACGAACGUGUAAAGAGGUCUGCUUUGUCUCGGUGAGGUACCACCGAUAUCGGUCCAAAAUUGUACAGUUGCCAACGACAACCGUGCUCCGGCAAUGGCUGUGGCUGCCUAAGCAGUCUCGGUCCGCCGAAACUUAAGUCCUAGCGCCUAGCCGCGUUAGGCGGGGUUCGCAGGCACCUGGCAACAGAAGCCUGCACU